GAACAGUAACGACAUUCACAAUACGCGCGACGUGAGACGAAACAUAACACUUAUAGUUCUUACAAUCGUACGAUUGUAAGAACUAUAAGUGUUAUGAUUCGUCUCACGUCGCGCGUAUUGUGAAUGAAAUAAUUUAUUGGUUUAAUGCAUGCAUUCAUUGCAUAUACUUUCAUUC
Non-coding RNA from Aedes albopictus (Asian tiger mosquito), 175 nucleotides. Lineage: Eukaryota; Metazoa; Arthropoda; Insecta; Diptera; Culicidae. The record is from Rfam.